CAAUUCUCUCUUUUCAUGAAAAAAGCAAGAAUGCAUGCAAAUCUUAUCAUUUCUUCGCAUACUAGUUGUGUUCAGCUUAUGUCUUCAUGGCACUCAUGGAGACUACGACGUUGGUGGCUGGCAGAGUGCCCAUGCUACAUUCUAUGGAGGCAGUGAUGCUUCAGGCACAAUGGUUAAGCAAGACAGUCGUUAAUUACCAAUUUCAACUUCAUUUACUCAUCUUUUUUUAAGCUCUUAUAUGAAAUUGUAUUUGGUGGGUGCCUGCAGGGGGGGCUUGUGGAUAUGGAAACUUGUACAGCCAGGGGUAUGGAACACACACUGCAGCUCUAAGCACUGCCCUUUUUAACAAUGGCUUCAGCUGUGGUGCCUGCUUUCAGAUACGCUGCGACAAUGAUCCAAAGUGGUGCCUCUGUCGUACGAUCACUGUCACAGUCAUCAACUUCUGCCCACCAAAUUAUGCUCUGUCCAAUGACAAUG
Molecule: unclassified non-coding RNA, 477 nt
Filed under: Hevea brasiliensis (rubber tree)
Lineage: Eukaryota; Viridiplantae; Streptophyta; Magnoliopsida; Malpighiales; Euphorbiaceae
Source: RNAcentral